This is a non-coding RNA of Malus domestica (apple), 2886 nucleotides long. The record is from RefSeq and is a predicted model, not a curated record. NCBI's taxonomy places the organism in Eukaryota, Viridiplantae, Streptophyta, Magnoliopsida, Rosales, Rosaceae.
GACGAAAUAUGGGUGCGAUUGGAAAAGAGUCCAGAUCCUACCCACCUAUCUGCCACUCCGUCUCUCUCUUCCCUCUCGCUCAUCUCGCUCUUCUCUCCCACUCCGUUAGACGAAGACAAAGACGAAGGAAGACAGCAACCACUACCCACCCAUCUGCUCCUCGCCGUUUCCUCAAUUCCGAAGAUGUCACAGUUGAUCACUUGUCGUCGGGGUGUGACCAAUGCGCCUCCCGCAUUUUCAGCACCUACUGCUUCAGCCAUGAGUGCUCGAUUGAUUGGGGAGCCUACACCCCUUACUGAGGCUACUCCUAAGGUGUCCCAAGUGCCCGUAUCAUCGGCAUCAUUAGUGUCGGUUUAGCAGCUCAGUGCACGGCGGCCUCACCGGCGCCGUCGCCAUCUGAAGCCUUCUGAUCACACUUCUUGGGCAUCCACAGUCAAGGGUAGAGGCUCCCAGCCAAGUACCUCACCACGUUGUAUUUUUUUUUCAUUUUAAAACUAUUAUUUGUAUGAUUGUGAAAAUUUCAUGCAUUGUGAAAAUGUGUUGUAGGUGUGAAUUACUGUUAUUUUACUGUUUUUAGGUUUUGCGAAAUGAUAUACUAUUAGGGGAGGUUUUGUUGAAUUUUUUGUAGAAAUUUAAGAUUAGGGUUUUCACCAUUUAAGUUACUUUGGGUAGCUAAAAAACACCAAGGGGCCUAAUUGAAUGCUGAAGCCGACACACAAUGUAUGUCUGUCCAACGAAUUGAUCAAGAUUGCGUAUGACUCACGACAUCGUGGAGCGCCUACCUCACAGAAGCAUAUAGCAGCAUUGUUACCAGCUAUGGUUUUGUUAUUCAAUGGCAUUGUCCUCUGCAGUGGGAGUCUUGGGCAGAAAUUCCGGAGAGGACGAAGAAACCGGUGCGGGAUGCGUUGUCGGUCAUUUAUAAUCUUGAGAACAUAUCCCCCGAGGUUGCAUCCUACUUAGAGAACUUAGCAACUUGGUACAAACAUUGGAAGUGUGACUCCACGCGCAUUUUAAGAAAUGGGAUGAUCCGGAGAUUGCUCGCCUAGAGGGUUGCCCAAUUGAGUUGUUGGAGCAGCUUAAGGAUUGGGAGUGGCUCUGCAAACAUUUUAAAAGACACAAAAUUUGUGAAUAAAUUUGUUGUUGCCAAGAAAGCUCGAGAGUCAGACACUUCUUCACCAUUUUGGUUCGAUGCCCUUCUCGUAUAGGGUUGAGGCGCGACGUCAGAAGGGUUCUAAGGUCCCAGAGCUCGACAUGUUCAAGGACGUUUAUGUUCGACCCAACGAUGAGACCACUGAGCAGCUCCAUGCUGCAAUGGUGGAGAAGGUCAUUGUUGUUCUCCAAGAAGCAGCAUCGCAGCUUCCCUUGGAGACCCUGAUCGAGAACGUCACUGUACCCGAGGAUGCAGGUUUUCAGAUCCUCACUGAGAUCCUGGAUCAGAAGCUCGGUCAUCGUCAUGGUAAGGUUGUUUGGGGCAUGGGGAAGGCGCAAGUUCGUGAGACGGGUGCCUCAUUUUCUAGACCAAUCACAUGAUAGGUCAUCGCCCUAACGGAGGAUGUGGAAACCUUAAAAGGUAAGAUUGCGGUCCAGAAAGCAGCCUGGGAUGCUCGGGAAGCCCAAAUUGGAGCCCAGUUUUCGGCCCAAGACGAGAAGAUGAGCAUGAUCUUACGCGCCUUACAGAUGUCCGGCCUCCAAAUCGCGAUGCUAGCACCUGUUCGUACUCCACCUUUGAAGUGGCUGGGAGGUCAAAGGUGGAGCAAGAUCAGGUGCUGGCAUCGAGAUUUGGAGGCCGGACAUCUGUAAGGCUCGUAAGAUCAUGCUCAUCUUCUCGUCCUGGGCUGAAAACUGGGCUUCCCAAGCAUCUCAGGCUACUUCCUGGGCCGCAAUCUUACAUUUUAGGAUUUCCACUUCCUUUGUUAGGGCAAUGACCUAUCAUGUGGUCAGUCUAGAAGAGGACACACCUGUGUCACGAACUCGCGCCUUCCUUAUACCCCGAACAACCUUGCCAUGACGACAACCGAGCUUCUGAUGGUACAAUGCAAGUAUUGUCGUCGUGCAAACCCUGCCCUCAUGACCUUUGCACACGACAAAGUUUUUGUUGGGUUAAUUUUCAGUUAGCUCGGUCAGUGAACACAAUAACACACUUCUUGCAACAAUGAGUCCCUUGGCUUCCCUUAGCACGACAUAUCUUGGGGAACUUGUUGCAAGUCAAUCUCACCUUGCGUUUUUGCAAGAUAAAGCGGUCGCUUCCAUGUAACAUAUUUGAAGGUUGUGAUUCAGUGAACACAAUAACACACUUCUUGCAGCAAUGAGUCCCUGGGCUUCCCCUAGCAUGACAUAUCCUGGGGAACUUGUUACAAGUCAAUCUCACCUGGCGUUUUUGCAAGAGAAAGUGGUCACUUCCACGUAACAUACUUGAAGGUUGUGAUUCAGUGAACACAAUAACACACUUAUUGCAACAAUGAGUCCCUGGGCUUCCCUUAGCAUGACAUAUCCUUUGGAACUUGUUAGAAGUCAAUCUCACCAGGCGUUUUUGCAAGAGAAAGCGGUCGCUUCCACGUAACAUAUUUGAAGGUUGUGAUUCAAUUUCGUUUAACGGAGAAUUCGAAAACUCAUCAAUGGUUGCAUCUUCGUAGUAUUGUUGGGAUUGUACUUCAUUGGAUUCAAUGCUUAGAAUAGGAGACAAGAGGGGGAUAGAUAUGAAGAAACAAUGUAUAAUCAACUUCAUGGUGAAAGAAAUAAUGUGAAGAGCUAGGCUUGCUAGAGAGAGGUUUAAUGUUGGAAACUAGAGACCGAAUAGAGGCUUAGAUGGGAGGGAAUGUUUGAUUAAGGAUGACAAUGGAGGUGGGUUUAUAUAGUAAAGCUUACAUGCAGAUAUUUUCCUCUCGA